RNAcentral lists this long non-coding RNA (5160 nucleotides) under Vigna radiata. RNAcentral's name for it is "long non-coding RNA (VRAD_LNC009608)". The record is from RNAcentral. Lineage: Eukaryota; Viridiplantae; Streptophyta; Magnoliopsida; Fabales; Fabaceae.
UCAUCUUCUUCAUUCAAAACCUUCCUUUCUUCUUCUUUUUUCAUUCUCUCACACACCAUUUUUGGCUCCAAUUUCUCUAUUCAUUCCAAGCUCAUGUGAUGUGCAACUGUGAUCCAUGCUUGUGUAUCAUACAAUUCAGUCCAUGGAUUCUAGUUUCAUCUACAAUUUUCAAAAGGAAAAAAAAAAAAAAACAUUGUUUUAGGAUGUCUUUUUUUCUCUCAUCUCUUUCAGAAAAAACAUUGUUCUAGGUUACGUUUGUUGGUGUUCUUGAGCUGGGGAUUUGUGUUCUGAGAUUAUUUGAUACACUAGCACGGGUCACUGUUGUAUGUCACGUCAAAAACAUUGCAGUGCUACCAUGAAAUGCAGCAGAAGAAUAUGCAAGAUUUUGCAGAAAAAGGAAAAGGGAGUUCUGAAGAACAAGGUGUGAAAAAGAAGCUACCACAUAUGUAUACAAAUAAAAAAAAGGUUUGUUUUGGAACUUAUUUAGGGUGAUUUAGUUUUUAUAUGCUUCUGGGACCAAGAAAAAAAACCCCUGUGGAAAAGUUAAAAAGUUGAUUCUAGUAAAAUGCUAGAAAAAUGAUGUUUCUCCGACAGAGGUUGUUUGUUUUUUACAAAACAUCAAUGUUACAGGUUUUUUAAAUAAAAGAUUUUUUUAACAGUAUUUUUUUAAUAAUUUUUUUGACAAUGACAUUUUGUUAUUAGUCUGUUUUUAAGUAUUUUUUUUAAAUAUAAUUUUAAAUAGAUUAAUAAAAUGAUUAUACAUGUUUUAUUAUUAAAAAAUUGUUAAAAAUAAUUAUCAUAUCAUAAUCCUUUUUAAAUUAAUAUAUUAUUUCAAAUUUUUUAAGUUUGAUAUAGAAGGUGCUGAUUGAAAAGAGAAAGAGAAUGAAAUAAUGUUUUUAAUUUUACUAAUUUUUAAAUUAUGUGAAUGGAAUUUGAGGGGAAGUAUUUUUUAAAUUUGCAUGAUAAUAGUAUAAAAUUUUAUCCUUCAAUAACAUUGUAACUAUUAUUCCAAAAAAAAAAAAUCUAUGUUUUAGCACUUGUAAUGGUUUUAUGUUAUAAUUUUUUUAUAAAGACAAUAUAUAUAUGAUUAUUAAUUUUAUAUUUCUCUAAUUAUGUAUCAUAGUUUGAACAAUUUCAAUGGUCCUAAAAACACAGUGAUGGAUAAGAUAACUUAUCCAUAGAACUCAAUAAAAAGUUAAAUUCUCAUGUAUCAUGCAUCUUUAUUUUAUUAUUAUUUUAUUUAUGUAUGUAUGUUCACUGUUGCACAAUACAUCCAAUCAUAAGUUAUAAGCUUAUCCAAAUAUUAUUGGUAAGGAUCAUUUUUAGAAUAUUUUACCAAUCUCAUGUAAUUUAGAAAGAAAUUAUUAAAAUGGAUAAAUUUUUUUAAAAAAGGAAGGAGGUGGAAAUUUAUAUCUUAAUGAUUUAAGAAAAAGUAAAAUCAGGCAUUAUGUCAAUGAAUGAAAUGUACCUUAACACUGAAAUUUUCAAAAUUGUUUAAAUUGACAAAUUAAAAAUUAGUGUUGUUUAUUUUAUUAAUUAUAAUUAAAUGGAAAAAAAUGAAUGAUACUCUACUCAGAAUGAUAAAUUCAUCAUAAUGUUAUUUAUUUAUACUAAUUAUAAUAAUUUUAAAAACUAAAUAAUUAUUUAAUUUUUAUAAUUAAUUAUAACGGAUACCCAAAUUUAUUAGAUUUCAAUAAUAAUGAAUUAUAAUUAAAUUCGUGUUAAUGAUUUCCGUAUAACUUUGUGAAAAUUUUUAAAAGUUUAUUCCGAAAAAAUUGACCUAUUUAGUAAUUUUUUGAGUUUAUUAGAGUUUUGAGUUUAUAUUUAUUAUGUUAUAUUGUUUUUCAUUAAUAUGACUAACCAAAAAUACUAUCUAAAUCUAUGUGCAUUGGCAUUAACUUAAAAUAAUUAAAGAAAAAUAUGGUUGUAGAUGAAGGUAAUAUUAUUAAAAAUGUCGUUAGAAAUGAAUGUUGAGUUCAUUCGAAUAACACCUUAUGCUAUUAUAAUAAUAAAAAAAAUAUCAAAUAACCAAAAUGAAGAAAUUUAAAUAAUUGAUUAGUCAUUUAAAAAAGUUAUUUUAGUUGUUUUAUAUAUGGUAGUUACUUCUUUAAGAAAAUAUAAUUGAGCAUUUAAAAUGAUAUUAAUGUAUUUUUAGAUUGUUUGAUAAAUAAGUUAAAGUUAUUAGAAGAUAACAAGUUAAGAGAAUAUCCUUCUGAUGUUUUAGUCCACUUCUUUUCAUAAUAAUUUAUUAAAAUAUCCUUUUAAUGACUCUCAUGCUUUAUAGAGUUAUUGUUUUUGGAUAAAGUUAUAUCCAUAUGACAUGAUAAAUUCCUAUACCAUCAACGGGAGAUAAUACAUUUCAUACUACUUUUUUAGAAUAAGGAAACUUCUUUAACUCUCACCAUCUAAACAUCAUUCUCUAUAUCAAUUUGAGUGUUUCGUAAAGUUAGGAUGACAUCACAUCAAAAUUCCUACUUAAAUAGAUACAUUAACAUUAUAAAAUAUGACAAAUCUACUUAGAGAUUACCAUAUUCAUACAUAUAAUUCAUAUAAAGUAGUAAAAAGAUAAUCCAAAUACAUUUUUGGCAUAAAAUGGCCCUGGUUUUACUCACCCCAUAAUUAGUAGAUUUAUGGAAUAAAACAGUCCUAAAUUUCUCAACUUCACCCUUGAACUACACUACUAAAAUCCAUUUCAUGUUCUUAACUUUGUUUCUUGCCUAGCCAUCAUGUGAUUUGCACGGCGAUCCUUAGUUUUUUAUUCAUUCAAACUCAUACUCGUUCUGUGAAUCUUUUUCUUACUCAACGAGACACCCCUAGAGGUAUACUCGUCUAAUAAAGUAUUGGUUCAUCCAAUGACUCGUUCCCUCGUUAUAACCCAUUACUUUUUUCAUUUUGAAAUAUUCAUCUAGUGAAUGAUAGAGUCACCUAGCAAAUCAAGCAUUUGAGCUAGUUCCUUACAAAUUUUCCCAAAAAGACCUAGGCUCACCUAAUGACCGAGUCACCCUAAGGGAGGACUUUCUUCUUCCUAUUCCUUCUAGUUCACCUCGUGACGUAGGGAGAAAUUUCUCCUUUCUUCUUCUUUGGGGCUGGGUUUCACGGGAGGGAGGCGAGCUCCGACGGCAACGGUGUUGCGUUGGCGCUAUGAUGAUGUGACGAUGGUGCGUCCUCCCUUCUCAUUUCGUAGUGAGUGUUGUAACGAUGAGAUUGAUUUCCUUGCGACAUCGUGACAAGGGUUUUGAUUUGGGUUUCUUGAAUCUUCUCUGCAGAUUUUUUAUCUUGCAUUUGGGUUUAGGUUUUCGAAUUCAGAUUUGGGUUUUCGAUUCGCAUUUUGGUUCUGUUUAUCACGAUUUAGGGUUCUCAAUGGUGGUUGAUGGUGGUGGCAUCAAUGGAGACGUUGGUGGUUACGACCAUGGGUCACGGUGACUGGGGAUGGCAGCGACACCUCUGAAGAAGAAAAGAAAAAAAUAAUCUUGUCUAAACCAACACCAAAAGAAGUCGAGCAGAAGGUAGAAGCACCAUUGAGAACAAUCUCUAAGUCACCAGAAACAUCUUUUUAACCAGCAAGGAUGCCAACUCAGCCUGCAGAAAUCGUGAUGCAUACUUCACGAUUGUAUCAAUGUUAGCUGAGAAUGAACUCUGAUUUUUCAAAAUCGAAUCUCCAAUCUGUGCAAUUAUUCCCAAUUUUUAUGAACCCCUACAAUUUCAUAACGAAACUCUCCCAAACCCAAUCCUUAAUUUGAACAAUUUAAAUUCCUAAUUCAUUUCCAAUAUUUCAUUUAUUUUUUUCAAUUUCUUUUUUUAAAAAGAAAAUAAAAUAUCCACAUCAUAAUCACAUAAAUCAAGUAAUAAAGUUCACCUCAAUUACACAUAGUUCACCGUGUCACGUCAACCAUAGACUAACAUUGUUAGGUUCAAUUUAACAACAAGGGUCUAAUGGUUACAAUUUUCACAAAAUAAGGAUCCAAUUGAGACACCGAACAAGUAGGAAAUUUAUUUGAGAUUCUGGACAAAAAUAAAGACCUACCAAAACAUUAAACCAUUUUUAAAUUGAUACAGAUGCAUAUUGAAAUUAUAGAGGCGCAAGGAAAAAAUGACCUUAACUUGGAGGGUAAUAUAUGAAGGCCCAAAUUUCUCAAAUUUUUUAAAGGCCCAAAAGCUAGUAACCCAUUGCAAGAGACAGAGACGGUGUACAACAUUUUGGGUGUUGUUCCCUACACCUCCCAAUUUGCUCCCUCUACCUCCUCAACCUUCUGAUUUUUCUUUUUAAUUAUAAAAAUAAUCUUGUUUUACUUUUUUAACCUUUUUAUUUUUUUAGUUUUAAUUUUAUUUACCCUCGUCUCUACUCUACUCAAAACCAACCCCCUCUAAGCUUUUGAGAUCCGCAAAUCCGCAUAUUCGUUUUUCUGCUCCCACCUCUGUCACAUCUUGGGUUGUAGGAAGGUACAUGUUCACUGGACAAUUAUGGUUAGAGAAUUUGUUAUGGAAAUUCCUACAUGAAAAUGUAUUGGUCGUAGGAAGGUACAUGUGUCAGCCAUGGUGUCUCUUUAAGCUUGACAAUACUUGAUCGUAGAACCUUAUGAUGAUCGUGUCUACUGUGAAAUUUUCUCAAUUAGUAUUUCGGUUCCUGAAUUUGUUUAUUGAUCUUAUGGUGUUGGGUCUUUAAUCUUUUAUCCAAUUUUUUUAAAUGAAUGGGGUCUUGGUCCUUCAUCUUCUACCUAAUCUUGACAGUUGGUUGUUGAUUUUGACUAUGCUCUUCGACUCAUUUUGCAGUGAAGAUGUCUAAAGGAUCUGGAUGUAGUGGGUUUAGAUUAUUUAACUUACUACAAAACUUCAUGUUUUAUUAUGUUCUCAUUUACUAUUUUUUUUGUCUGCUUGAGUUGGAAGGACUUUAGUUUAUCGGUUGUUGAAAGUUACAUGUUCCGACCAUGGUGCAAGAUCAAUAAUGUUGAACAUUAUGAUCAUCAAGCCUGUUUUGGAAAUUUCUCCUUUAGAAUUCUAAUUCCUGAAUUUGUGUUUUAUCUCACGAACAGAAACAUCACAAAGGUUGCUUGCAAUGAUUUUACAGACAGGAAUCGUCCUGAAGAAAUAACUCUAAUUAGAUGAUCACGAUAUCUGGUUUUGGGCAUUUCACCGAUGACUCCAUUGAUGAAGCAAUGACGC